GGGCCCGCACAAGCGGUGGAGUAUGUGGUUUAAUUCGAUGCAACGCGAAGAACCUUACCUGGUCUUGACAUACACAGAACCUUGUAGAGAUACGAGAGUGCCUUCGGGAAUUGUGAUACAGGUGCUGCAUGGCUGUCGUCAGCUCGUGUCGUGAGAUGUUGGGUUAAGUCCCGCAACGAGCGCAACCCUUGUCCUUAGUUACCAGCGGGUUAAGCCGGGAACUCUAAGGAUACUGCCAGUGACAAACUGGAGGAAGGCGGGGACGACGUCAAGUCAUCAUGGCCCUUACGACCAGGGCUACACACGUGCUACAAUGGUAGGUACAGAGGGCAGCUACACAGCGAUGUGAUGCGAAUCUCAAAAAGCCUAUCGUAGUCCAGAUUGGAGUCUGCAACUCGACUCCAUGAAGUAGGAAUCGCUAGUAAUCGCGGAUC
RNAcentral lists this ribosomal RNA (434 nucleotides) under uncultured bacterium. RNAcentral describes it as "bacterial SSU rRNA". It matches the Rfam family "Bacterial small subunit ribosomal RNA", at positions 917 to 1350 of the family's 1533-position model. The record is from RNAcentral.